GACGAACGCUGGCGGCGUGCUUAACACAUGCAAGUCGAACGGAAAGGCCCUGCUUUUGUGGGUUGCUCGAGUGGCGAACGGGUGAGUAACACGUGAGUAACCUGCCCUUGACUUUGGGAUAACUUCAGGAAACUGGGGCUAAUACCGGAUAGGAGCUCCUGCUGCAUGGUGGGGGUUGGAAAGUUUCGGCGGUUGUGGAUGGUCUCGCGGCUUAUCAGCUUGUUGGUGGGGUAGGUGCUUACCAAGGCUUUGACGGGUAGCCGGCCUGGGAGGGUGACCGGCCACAUUGGGACUGCGAGACGGCCCAGACGGCAACGUGAGGCAGCAGGGGGGAAUAUUGCAGAAUGGGCGGAAGCCUGAGGCAGCAACGCUGCGUUCGGGAUGCUGGCUUUCGGGUUGUAAACCGCUUUCGACGGUGCCGAAGCGUGAGUGACGGUAAUGGGUAAAGAAGCACCGGCUAACUACGUG
RNAcentral lists this ribosomal RNA (468 nucleotides) under uncultured bacterium. Its description in RNAcentral is "partial 16S ribosomal RNA". It matches the Rfam family "Bacterial small subunit ribosomal RNA", at positions 28 to 507 of the family's 1533-position model. The record is from RNAcentral.